This 346-nucleotide ribosomal RNA is filed under the name uncultured bacterium. RNAcentral describes it as "partial 16S ribosomal RNA". It matches the Rfam family "Bacterial small subunit ribosomal RNA", at positions 338 to 682 of the family's 1533-position model. The record is from RNAcentral.
CCUACGGGUGGCAGCAGUGAGGAAUAUUGGUCAAUGGCCGGAAGGCUGAACCAGCCAAGCCGCGUGAAGGACGAAGGUGCCAAGCAUUGUAAACUUCUUUUGUCAAGGGACAAAAUCAGGCUCGAGAGCCUGACCGAGGGUACGUGAAGAAAAAGCAUCGGCUAACUCCGUGCCAGCAGCCGCGGUAAGACGGAGGAUGCGAGCGGUAUCCGGAUUUCUUGGGUUGAAAGGGUGCGUAGGCGGACUGUUAAGUCAGCGGUAAACGCCCGGGGCUCACCCCCGGCGAGCCGUUGAAACUGGCUGUCUUGAGCUGUCGAGAGUUAUGCGGAAUGCGCAGUGUAGCGGU